CUCAACUUGAAAUAGCAUUCAAUUCAAGGUUGGUCCAUCUCUGAAGCUUCUCUGUGCACAAUAAUCUUCAUCCCUUCAUUACGUUGCUCGAUCAAAUUGCAUGCAUAUUAAGGAAAGGAACAGUAAUAAUGAAAAAGGUAGGUGGUGGAAGGCCAAAGGAUGAUGAUGUGCGGGGACACGUUGAGGUAUUGGAGGAAGGACGAAGAUGGAAGUGUAAAUAUUGUGAACGGGAAUUCGCAGGAGGUGCUAGCAGAAUCAGAUCUCAUAUUUAUGGAGAAAAAGGCGGAGG
Neltuma alba is the source of this 289-nucleotide long non-coding RNA. RefSeq lists it as uncharacterized. Lineage: Eukaryota; Viridiplantae; Streptophyta; Magnoliopsida; Fabales; Fabaceae. The transcript has 3 exons. The record is from RefSeq and is a predicted model, not a curated record.